RNAcentral lists this ribosomal RNA (498 nucleotides) under uncultured bacterium. Its description in RNAcentral is "partial 16S ribosomal RNA". It matches the Rfam family "Bacterial small subunit ribosomal RNA", at positions 30 to 523 of the family's 1533-position model. The record is from RNAcentral.
AUUGAACGCUGGCGGCAUGCCUUACACAUGCAAGUCGAACGGUAACAGGUCUUCGGAUGCUGACGAGUGGCGAACGGGUGAGUAAUACAUCGGAACGUGCCCGAUCGUGGGGGAUAACGAGGCGAAAGCUUUGCUAAUACCGCAUACGAUCUACGGAUGAAAGCGGGGGAUCUUCGGACCUCGUGCGGACGGAGCGGCCGAUGGCAGAUUAGGUAGUUGGUGGGAUAAAAGCUUACCAAGCCGACGAUCUGUAGCUGGUCUGAGAGGAUGAUCAGCCACACUGGGACUGAGACACGGCCCAGACUCCUACGGGAGGCAGCAGUGGGGAAUUUUGGACAAUGGGCGAAAGCCUGAUCCAGCCAUGCCGCGUGCAGGAUGAAGGCCUUCGGGUUGUAAACUGCUUUUGUACGGAACGAAAAGCCUCUUUCUAAUAAAGAGGGGUCAUGACGGUACCGUAAGAAUAAGCACCGGCUAACUACGUGCCAGCCGCCGCGGUAA